This 492-nucleotide ribosomal RNA is filed under the name uncultured bacterium. RNAcentral's name for it is "partial 16S ribosomal RNA". It matches the Rfam family "Bacterial small subunit ribosomal RNA", at positions 29 to 507 of the family's 1533-position model. The record is from RNAcentral.
AGUGAACGCUGGCGGUAGGCCUAACACAUGCAAGUCGAACGGCAGCACAGUAAGAGCUUGCUCUUACGGGUGGCGAGUGGCGGACGGGUGAGGAAUACAUCGGAAUCUACUUUUUCGUGGGGGAUAACGUAGGGAAACUUACGCUAAUACCGCAUACGACCUACGGGUGAAAGCAGGGGAUCUUCGGACCUUGCGCGAUUGAAUGAGCCGAUGUCGGAUUAGCUAGUUGGCAGGGUAAAGGCCCACCAAGGCGACGAUCCGUAGCUGGUCUGAGAGGAUGAUCAGACACACUGGAACUGAGACACGGUCCAGACUCCUACGGGAGGCAGCAGUGGGGAAUAUUAGACAAUGGGCGCAAGCCUGAUCCAGCCAUACCGCGUGAGUGAAGAAGGCCUUCGGGUUGUAAAGCCCUUUUGUUGGGAAAGAAAAGCAGCAGGUUAAUACCCCGCUGUUCUGACGGUACCCAAAGAAUAAGCACCGGCUAACUUCGUG